This is a non-coding RNA of Triticum aestivum (bread wheat), 136 nucleotides long. The record is from Rfam. Lineage: Eukaryota; Viridiplantae; Streptophyta; Magnoliopsida; Poales; Poaceae.
AUUCUACUCCCUCCGUUGCACAAUACAUGCCUUCUAUUUGUCAAAAUAUAUAUGUAUCUAGACAUGUCUUAGUAUAUAGGUACAUCCAUUUUUGGACAAAUGGAAGUCAAGUAUUUUGGAAUGGAGGGAGUACAAA